UCUGGUGAUCAUAGGUGAGGUGAAACACACGUUCCCAUCCCGAACACGCUCGUUAAGCCCUCAAUCGCCGAUGGUAGUGCAGCCACGCUGCUGUGCGAGAGUAGGUCGUCGCCAGUC
Molecule: ribosomal RNA, 117 nt
Filed under: Opitutia bacterium
Lineage: Bacteria; Pseudomonadati; Verrucomicrobiota; Opitutia
Also listed under: 1 other name
Source: RNAcentral